Molecule: ribosomal RNA, 253 nt
Filed under: uncultured bacterium
Lineage: Bacteria
Description: partial 16S ribosomal RNA
Rfam family: Bacterial small subunit ribosomal RNA
Source: RNAcentral
UACGUAGGGGCCUAGCGUUGUCCGGAAUUAUUGGGCGUAAAGAGCGUGUAGGCGGCCCGAUUAGUCCGCUGUGAAAGUCCAGGGCUCAACCCUGGAAUGCCGGUGGAUACUGUCGGGCUAGAGUCCGGAAGGGGCGAGUGGAAUUCCUGGUGUAGCGGUGAAAUGCGCAGAUAUCAGGAGGAACACCAAUAGCGAAGGCAGCUCGCUGGGACGGUACUGACGCUGAGGCGCGAAAGCGUGGGGAGCGAACAGG